GACGAACGCUGGCGGCGUGCUUAACACAUGCAAGUCGAGCGGUAAGGCCCUUUCGGGGUACGACGAGCGGCGAACGGGUAGGAGUAACAACGUGGGUGGACCUCGCCCUCCAGCUCUGGGAGUAAGACCGUCGGGAAACCGGGGUACCGUAAUAACUGGAUAUGACUCCAUGACGCAUGUUGGUGGGGUGGGAAAGACCUU
This 201-nucleotide ribosomal RNA is filed under the name uncultured bacterium. RNAcentral's name for it is "partial 16S ribosomal RNA". The record is from RNAcentral.